This 679-nucleotide ribosomal RNA is filed under the name Alcaligenes faecalis. Its description in RNAcentral is "bacterial SSU rRNA". It matches the Rfam family "Bacterial small subunit ribosomal RNA", at positions 64 to 732 of the family's 1533-position model. Lineage: Bacteria; Pseudomonadati; Pseudomonadota; Betaproteobacteria; Burkholderiales; Alcaligenaceae. The record is from RNAcentral.
GAACGGCAGCGCGAGAGAGCUUGCUCUCUUGGCGGCGAGUGGCGGACGGGUGAGUAAUAUAUCGGAACGUGCCCAGUAGCGGGGGAUAACUACUCGAAAGAGUGGCUAAUACCGCAUACGCCCUACGGGGGAAAGGGGGGGAUCGCAAGACCUCUCACUAUUGGAGCGGCCGAUAUCGGAUUAGCUAGUUGGUGGGGUAAAGGCUCACCAAGGCAACGAUCCGUAGCUGGUUUGAGAGGACGACCAGCCACACUGGGACUGAGACACGGCCCAGACUCCUACGGGAGGCAGCAGUGGGGAAUUUUGGACAAUGGGGGAAACCCUGAUCCAGCCAUCCCGCGUGUAUGAUGAAGGCCUUCGGGUUGUAAAGUACUUUUGGCAGAGAAGAAAAGGUAUCCCCUAAUACGGGAUACUGCUGACGGUAUCUGCAGAAUAAGCACCGGCUAACUACGUGCCAGCAGCCGCGGUAAUACGUAGGGUGCAAGCGUUAAUCGGAAUUACUGGGCGUAAAGCGUGUGUAGGCGGUUCGGAAAGAAAGAUGUGAAAUCCCAGGGCUCAACCUUGGAACUGCAUUUUUAACUGCCGAGCUAGAGUAUGUCAGAGGGGGGUAGAAUUCCACGUGUAGCAGUGAAAUGCGUAGAUAUGUGGAGGAAUACCGAUGGCGAAGGCAGCCCCCUGG